Molecule: long non-coding RNA, 2459 nt
Filed under: Scleropages formosus (Asian bonytongue)
Lineage: Eukaryota; Metazoa; Chordata; Actinopteri; Osteoglossiformes; Osteoglossidae
Description: lncRNA (ENSSFOG00015025440.1)
Source: RNAcentral
CUGCUUGGGACAAGCGGCUUCAGACAGUGUGUGUGUGUGUGUGUGUGUGUGUGUGCUAUAUACUGUAAAUGAAAGCAAUAUGUCGUACCAGUGUGUCUGACAUCAGAGUCUGUGAUCUGUUUGUUUUAGAAGCUGUCGUUUCUAAGGAGAAGACAAAGCUGAUACUUCCAAGAAGAGCUGUCCAAGUUAAAGUUGAAAAGACCACAAAGCCACAUGAACCAGUGAAAGAAGUCAAAACUAAGGAGCAUAAAGGUGCAAGUACGUCAUAAAAGAUGUGUUUUCCGAGAAAGAUAUUUAACAAAGUUAUCCAGCCUAUUACUUUUUGUGGUUUUGCAGUGAUUAGAUCUUUUUUUUUAACAGAGCUUGACAGAGAGAAGCUCAAAAUUUUGCUUAAGAGGGCUAAGGCCAGAUUUUCUAACUCUCAUAUUGGUGUUCUUGUGUUUAUUACACUGGUGUGAAUAAUUAAGACUAAGAAUACUCCACACAUAGCAAACAACAGCAAAUGUAUUCAGUAUGAGCAACACAAAAACUAAAAAUAGACUUUAAUGUAGCAGCAAUAUAGCUUUGCAUCAAUUCUCUAAUGGCCAGAUGUUUAUUCAUGCAGAACCUGAAAAAGAAAGGCCUAAACCUUUGGUGAAAAAGGACACUGAAAAAGAAAAGAUGAAAACUGCGCUAAAGAAAGAGGAGAAAAUGAAGGAUCUCAAAGUCCCUGCGGCUGAAGCACAGACAAAGCCCCGUCAUGCUGCAAAAAUGACCCCACCAGGGAGAGGUUCCUCUACUCAUCCAAAAGCCGAAACAGGUAGGCCAGCUCAGGUCGACACAAAGUCAACAAAGGAUGCAAAAGAACAAGAUGGGAAAACUCCAAAACCAUCAAAACCUGCUGGUGUGGAGGAGGCCAAGGCCAAGACAGAGCCAGGUAAGUGUCACGGACUCCUUCCUCGACCACCCGUGCAUUUUCACCCCGUUCGCCACCUCAUUAGAGGGCCGCGGUCCGCACCAGGUCCACAGGGUCCAUUUCAGAAGCUGGGACCAGGUCACGAUGGAACUGAUAGGUUCAGACUGAAUCCUUUGUUCCGAAAGUUUUUGGGCCUGGGGGGGGGUGACAUUAUCUUCUCAAAUGUCCUUGUACACUGAGUGGGAAAGGACACUCUGUUUCCCUGUCCAGUCUGGCAGUCACCAACGUGUCCCUUCCCUUCCAAUGUCCUUCCUUUCAGCCAAAAUGCCCUACUUCCAGUGUGUCCUUCUUCGCUCCAAAAACACCAAGUACCCUCUAUACCCUUUCACCCCUGCUCAAAGUCCCAUCACCAAGCCCCAGCCGCCAGAAAGGAGAGCCAGGGCAGCUGGGCACUAAGACAGCGCCUCCUACAGGUCAAGUUAAUUUCUCACCGCAGCUGUCCCCUGCGACUGGAGGGCUGUUCUCUUGCUGGGGCCAUUGUGGGCCACAAGCAUCUUAAGAGGUCUUGACUGUUAACCAAGGAUGAUCUUGAACAAAGAGGAUGAAUGGUUCUUUAACUUUUUUGUUUUUCUUAAGACUGGUCGAGCUUCCAUCACUGUUGGUGUAUGAACCCCAUUCCUUUACAUGCAGCCGUGAUGAUGUCUUGCAGUGUUUGUCUCUUCCUCCGUUUCAGUGCUGUGUCAAAAAAGCACUUAUGAAAAUUCAAUUAUGAAAGAAGCAGAAUGCAUCACGAUUAUUAAUCCACUGUGGUGGUUUCGAUAUCAUGAGUGACACAGCUUAUCUUAUAUAGUUUGAUUUUUAUUUUUGACGGCCAAAAGAAUACGAAGUUUAACCGAAAAAAUCAAUUUAUUGUCAGCUUGUACGUAUAAAUAGACAUAUACUGUAUAUAAUUUAGUGUAAAUUUGCAGUUUACAGUUGGGGUUUCUCAAAUUCAAUUUGAGAUAUUUCAUCGUGCUAAUGCGCCUCAAUCUCAAAAUGUGCAAAGAGAAAUAUUAGUUUAUAUAUAAUAAUUUAUUUGCUAUAUGUGUACAUUUACUAAUUAAUUUGUAUGGUGGCAAUAUCUUAAAUUAUUGUCCACCGUGGCAAUAUCUUAAAUUGUUUUUAAACUAUAUAUUUAAUUAAUUUAUUGUAAAUGUGACAUGAUACUGUGGAAUGUGUGUCGUAGUGCAGGGAAUGUUGAAAACAUGUAUGUUAAUGUUUUUGACCCAAAAAGAAUCUGUGUGUGUGUGUGUGUGUGUGUGUGUGUGUGUGUGUGUGUGUGUGUGUGUGUGUGUGUGCGCGCCGCUCUAUUUGUGUUUAUCUGUAAAUUUAUGUCAGCUUCCUAUGUCUCGUUCUGCACCACUGUUUCCCAUAAGCCCUGUCUGGCAGCAAAAAAAAAAUCUUUGAAACAUGUUUUUGCUUGUUUAGAAGAAGAACUAUUUCUGGCUCAGCAUUUCUUAUUUGCGUUACACAUUUGGGAACCACAAACAAUAAAGCUGCUGUGGAAAGUUCGAAUUUGUUUUAC